This 529-nucleotide long non-coding RNA is filed under the name Rhagoletis pomonella (apple maggot). RNAcentral's name for it is "uncharacterized LOC118754430". Lineage: Eukaryota; Metazoa; Arthropoda; Insecta; Diptera; Tephritidae. The record is from RNAcentral.
GUGUGAUCCGUAGCAGUUGUUACAGCUGGAGGAGUAACCAUAGCAGAGUUAGCAGAGUUAAUACUGCGAGCGGAAGGAUGAGACUUCUCCCACGCAACGUCUAUGUUACACUCAGACAUACAUGUACCUGACGAAGUAUGAUGCGUAGCAGUCGUUGAAGCUGGGGUAUUAGCAAUAGCAGAGUUAGCACAGUAACUAACAGCUGGAAACCCCUAUGCAGCAGUUGAAAUUGUGCGCCUAACUACCACCAGUAACUUUGACAUUGGAUUAGGAUGUGCCGGAUAGAGAUUUUGCCGGAUAACUGGAUGCCGGAUACCAUGUAAAAAAUAAGAGCCGGAUUCGGAUAUCCGGUCGACUGCUGCCUUUUAUAAAUUUCGCAAUAUUGUUACAAUACGUAAUUAAGAAUACAAAAUAUCUCUUCUGAAAUCCAAGUUAUAAAAUAUUCCUGUAUUAAAAAUAUGACUUUUCCGUCUCCAACCCUGAUUUCUAGAUUACACAGACCUGCGAGUUAAAUAAAUUUAAAUACAUA